RNAcentral lists this ribosomal RNA (405 nucleotides) under uncultured bacterium. RNAcentral's name for it is "bacterial SSU rRNA". It matches the Rfam family "Bacterial small subunit ribosomal RNA", at positions 355 to 776 of the family's 1533-position model. The record is from RNAcentral.
CAGGGAAUCUUGCGCAAUGGGCGAAAGCCUGACGCAGCGACACCGCGUGAAGGAAGAAUGCCUUAGGGUUGUAAACUUCUUUUGUUGGGGAAGAGAUAGGACGGUACCCAACGAAUAAGCCCCGGCUAACUACGUGCCAGCAGCCGCGGUAAUACGUAGGGGGCGAGCGUUGUCCGGAUUUAUUGGGCGUAAAGGGCGAGUAGGCGGCAUGCCAAGUCCCGUGUAAAAUCUCCUGGCUUAACUAGGAGCGGUCAUGGGAAACUGGCAAGCUUGAGGACAUCAGAGGAGAGCGGAAUUCCCGGAGUAGUGGUGAAAUGCGUAGAUACCGGGAGGAACACCAGAGGCGAAAGCGGCUCUCUGGGAUGCACCUGACGCUGAGGCGCGAAAGCAUGGGUAGCAAACCGG